Molecule: ribosomal RNA, 469 nt
Filed under: Achromobacter pulmonis
Lineage: Bacteria; Pseudomonadati; Pseudomonadota; Betaproteobacteria; Burkholderiales; Alcaligenaceae
Description: bacterial SSU rRNA
Rfam family: Bacterial small subunit ribosomal RNA
Source: RNAcentral
AGAUUGAACUGAAGAGUUUGAUCCUGGCUCAGAUUGAACGCUAGCGGGAUGCCUUACACAUGCAAGUCGAACGGCAGCACGGACUUCGGUCUGGUGGCGAGUGGCGAACGGGUGAGUAAUGUAUCGGAACGUGCCCAGUAGCGGGGGAUAACUACGCGAAAGCGUAGCUAAUACCGCAUACGCCCUACGGGGGAAAGCAGGGGAUCUUCGGACCUUGCACUAUUGGAGCGGCCGAUAUCGGAUUAGCUAGUUGGUGGGGUAACGGCCUACCAAGGCGACGAUCCGUAGCUGGUUUGAGAGGACGACCAGCCACACUGGGACUGAGACACGGCCCAGACUCCUACGGGAGGCAGCAGUGGGGAAUUUUGGACAAUGGGGGAAACCCUGAUCCAGCCAUCCCGCGUGUGCGAUGAAGGCCUUCGGGUUGUAAAGCACUUUUGGCAGGAAAGAAACGUCGCGGGCUAAUACC